Molecule: ribosomal RNA, 460 nt
Filed under: uncultured bacterium
Lineage: Bacteria
Description: partial 16S ribosomal RNA
Rfam family: Bacterial small subunit ribosomal RNA
Source: RNAcentral
CCUACGGGUGGCAGCAGUGAGGAAUAUUGGUCAAUGGACGAGAGUCUGAACCAGCCAAGUAGCGUGAAGGAUGACUGCCCUAUGGGUUGUAAACUUCUUUUAUAUGGGAAUAAAAUGUUCCACGUGUGGGAUUUUGUAUGUACUAUAUGAAUAAGGAUCGGCUAACUCCGUGCCAGCAGCCGCGGUAAUACGGAGGAUCCGAGCGUUAUCCGGAUUUAUUGGGUUUAAAGGGAGCGUAGGUGGAUUGUUAAGUCAGUUGUGAAAGUUUGCGGCUCAACCGUAAAAUUGCAGUUGAAACUGGCAGUCUUGAGUACAGUAGAGGUGGGCGGAAUUCGUGGUGUAGCGGUGAAAUGCUUAGAUAGCACGAAGAACUCCGAUUGCGAAGGCAGUUCACUGGACUGUGACUGACAUUGAUGCUCGAAAGUGUGGGUAUCAAACAGGAUUAGAUACCCGGGUAGUC